AACGAACGCUGGCGGCAUGCCUAACACAUGCAAGUCGAACGAGACCUUCGGGUCUAGUGGCGCACGGGUGCGUAACGCGUGGGAACCUGCCCUUAGGUUCGGAAUAACUCCCCGAAAGGGGUGCUAAUACCGGAUAAUGUCUUCGGACCAAAGAUUUAUCGCCUUUGGAUGGGCCCGCGUUGGAUUAGCUAGUUGGUAGGGUAAAAGCCUACCAAGGCGACGAUCCAUAGCUGGUCUGAGAGGAUGAUCAGCCACACUGGGACUGAGACACGGCCCAGACUCCUACGGGAGGCAGCAGUGGGGAAUACUGGACAACGGGCGAAAGCCUGAUCCAGCAAGGCCGCGUGAGUGAUGAAGGCCUUAGGGUUGUAAAGCUCUUUUACCCGGGAUGAUAAUGACAGUACCGGGAGAAUAAGCGCCGGCUAACUCCGUG
RNAcentral lists this ribosomal RNA (433 nucleotides) under uncultured bacterium. Its description in RNAcentral is "partial 16S ribosomal RNA". It matches the Rfam family "Bacterial small subunit ribosomal RNA", at positions 29 to 507 of the family's 1533-position model. The record is from RNAcentral.